RNAcentral lists this ribosomal RNA (445 nucleotides) under uncultured bacterium. RNAcentral's name for it is "partial 16S ribosomal RNA". It matches the Rfam family "Bacterial small subunit ribosomal RNA", at positions 354 to 796 of the family's 1533-position model. The record is from RNAcentral.
GUGAGGAAUAUUGGUCAAUGGACGAGAGUCUGAACCAGCCAAGUCGCGUGAAGGAAGACGGUUCUAUGAAUUGUAAACUUCUUUUGUGCAGGAAUAAAGUGGGUUACGUGUAACCUUUUGUAUGUACUGUACGAAUAAGGAUCGGCUAACUCCGUGCCAGCAGCCGCGGUAAUACGGAGGAUCCGAGCGUUAUCCGGAUGUAUUGGGUUUAAAGGGUGCGUAGGUGGAUUGAUAAGUCAGCGGUGAAAGUUUGCAGCUUAACUGUAAAAUUGCCGUUGAAACUGUCGGUCUUGAGUGCAAAUGAGGUAGGCGGAAUGUGUUGUGUAGCGGUGAAAUGCUUAGAUAUAACACAGAACUCCGAUUGCGAAGGCAGCUUACUGGGAUGCAACUGACACUGAUGCACGAAAGCGUGGGUAUCAAACAGGAUUAGAUACCCGUGUAGUCC